ACUUAAGCAUAUCAAUAAGCGGAGGAAAAGAAACUAACAAGGAUUCCCCUAGUAACUGCGAGUGAAGCGGGAAAAGCUCAAAUUUGAAAUCUGGCGGUCUUUGAUCGUCCGAGUUGUAAUCUAGAGAAGUUGUUACCUGUGCAGGACCAUGUACAAGUCUCCUGGAAUGGGGCAUCAUAGAGGGUGAGAAUCCCGUCUUUGACAUGGACUACCUGCAUGUUGUGGUGCGCUCUCAAAGAGUCGAGUUGUUUGGGAAUGCAGCUCAAAAUGGGUGGUAAAUGCCAUCUAAAGCUAAAUAUUGGCGAGAGACCGAUAGCGAACAAGUACCGUGAGGGAAAGAUGAAAAGCACUUUGGAAAGAGAGUUAAACAGUACGUGAAAUUGCUGAAAGGGAAACGCUUGAAGUCAGUCACAUUGGCCAGAAAUCAGCCUUGCUUUUGUGAGGUGUACUUUCUGUUUGAUGGGUCAGCAUCAAUUUCGAUCGCUGGAUAAAGUCUCUGGGAAUGUGGCAUCUUCGGAUGUGUUAUAGCCCAUUGUCACAUGCAGCGGUUGGGAUUGAGGAACUCAGCACGCCGAAAGGCCGGGUUUCGACCCAUGUCCGUGCUUAGGAUGCUGGCAUAAUGGCUUUAAUCGACCCGUCUUGAAACACGGACCAAGGAGUCUAACAUGCCUGCGAGUGU
This 679-nucleotide ribosomal RNA is filed under the name Inocybe grammata. Its description in RNAcentral is "eukaryotic LSU rRNA". It matches the Rfam family "Eukaryotic large subunit ribosomal RNA", at positions 32 to 693 of the family's 3401-position model. Lineage: Eukaryota; Fungi; Basidiomycota; Agaricomycetes; Agaricales; Inocybaceae. The record is from RNAcentral.